Molecule: long non-coding RNA, 267 nt
Filed under: Linum usitatissimum (flax)
Lineage: Eukaryota; Viridiplantae; Streptophyta; Magnoliopsida; Malpighiales; Linaceae
Description: long non-coding RNA (LUSI_LNC002307)
Source: RNAcentral
UGACCACCAAUGAGGGUACUGGUAACCUGACUGUGGCAAAUGCAGUGGACGCCAUUUGACGAUGAGUGUUGCGGUGAGCUAGCUCAAUACUAAAACCCUGGUUCUCUCUGCUUCUUCUUCUUCUUCUUCUUCUUCCCCUUCUUCUUGUUCUAGGUCUAUCCUUUCCUUAGGAGAUGACUAAGCCGGAAGUUCUGGAGUCUUCCUUUUCGUUUCCUUACCGUUUAGUGGGUUCAUAGGCCCAUUACCAGUAUUGCCUUACAAAUGUGC